This 497-nucleotide ribosomal RNA is filed under the name uncultured bacterium. Its description in RNAcentral is "partial 16S ribosomal RNA". It matches the Rfam family "Bacterial small subunit ribosomal RNA", at positions 28 to 507 of the family's 1533-position model. The record is from RNAcentral.
GACGAACGCUGGCGGCGUGCCUAAUACAUGCAAGUAGAACGCUGAAGCGAGGAGCUUGCUCUUCUUGGAUGAGUUGCGAACGGGUGAGUAACGCGUAGGUAACCUGCCUUGUAGCGGGGGAUAACUAUUGGAAACGAUAGCUAAUACCGCAUAACAAUGGAUGACACAUGUCAUUUAUUUGAAAGGGGCAAUUGCUCCACUACAAGAUGGACCUGCGUUGUAUUAGCUAGUAGGUGAGGUAAUGGCUCACCUAGGCGACGAUACAUAGCCGACCUGAGGGGGUGAUCGGCCACACUGGGACUGAGACACGGCCCAGACUCCUACGGGAGGCAGCAGUAGGGAAUCUUCGGCAAUGGGGGCAACCCUGACCGAGCAACGCCGCGUGAGUGAAGAAGGUUUUCGGAUCGUAAAGCUCUGUUGUAAGUCAAGAACGGGUGUGAGAGUGGAAAGUUCACACUGUGACGGUAGCUUACCAGAAAGGGACGGCUAACUACGUG